Homo sapiens (human) is the source of this 1060-nucleotide long non-coding RNA. RefSeq lists it as uncharacterized. NCBI's taxonomy places the organism in Eukaryota, Metazoa, Chordata, Mammalia, Primates, Hominidae. The transcript is spliced from 2 exons. The record is from RefSeq and is a predicted model, not a curated record.
AGAGGAAGUUGAGAUGCCUGUUCUGCAGCUGCUGCGCGUCCCACCGACCCGCUGCUCGCCGUCCCUGGGCCGUGCUGGCCCUCCGCCCUCGGCCCAGACCCGGACCGGGCCAUGCUCCACACCAAUGGGACCAGUCGGGAGGGCCACGUGGGGAUGUGGAGGCAUUGGGGAGAUCUGACCCAGACCUGCCCCCCAUGACAGUUUCAAGAGCACCCCACGUACUUGACCCCCGCUGGGCAGAAGCUACCAAAGGAGACCCCGCGAGGGUCAAGGGAGGGUGUCGUCAGGCCCGCGCUGAGCCCUGCAGGAUGCUCAGGGCCAGGGCCCCACCCUCUACUGGCCCUUCUCCCUCAGAGUUGUCCAUUGACUGGACAAACCAUCCCCAAUGCUGACUCUUUGACCUAUAGUCAGCUAACUCCCCGGGACCUGCUUCGGAUCCCUGGAGGGCUGAGGAUUGAAUUCAGGAGCCUAGGGAUUCUCCGGGUCCUGCAGGCAGAGCUCCAACUGGUGGGUGAAAGUUACAAGGAGGCAGGUUUCUGAAGGAAGCCCUGUGUAAUAAUCAGAGCUGCCCAGCCUGUAUCUAAAAGUGGUCAAGAUGCGGGCUGAAGCGUCACGGGUCAGGAAUGCUGCACAGGAGAGUCUACGGACAGGCUAGAUGACCCUUAGCAUGGAGGGAGAGGACCCCCGACAUCUGUCAGCUCUGCAGUGCUCGUGGUUCCGUCAUGGUGGAGCUGCCGAGUGACCCGCUGGCCUCCCUGAGCUGGGCUUGACCAUAUGUACGAAGGAAAGAAAAGGCAUCCCAUGGAUGUCUCCUAGUUCCCUCACUGUGGCCCAGUGUUGUAUAUCAACGUCAUCAUGGAUACACCUCCUGUGGGAGGUGAUUAGGCCAUGAGGGUGGAGCCCUCGUGAAUGGAAUUGGUGCCCUUAUAGAAGGGACCCUGGACCCUGGACCUCCACUCUGCAAGGAUACAGUGAGAAGGCAGAACCCAGCCUCAGGUACACUCAUCUCAGACUUGCAGCCUCCUGAACUGUGAGAAAUAAAUGUUUGUUGUCUGUGGUA